RNAcentral lists this ribosomal RNA (492 nucleotides) under uncultured bacterium. Its description in RNAcentral is "partial 16S ribosomal RNA". It matches the Rfam family "Bacterial small subunit ribosomal RNA", at positions 29 to 507 of the family's 1533-position model. The record is from RNAcentral.
AGUGAACGCUGGCGGUAGGCCUAACACAUGCAAGUCGAACGGCAGCACAGUAAGAGCUUGCUCUUACGGGUGGCGAGUGGCGGACGGGUGAGGAAUACAUCGGAAUCUACUUUUUCGUGGGGGAUAACGUAGGGAAACUUACGCUAAUACCGCAUACGACCUACGGGUGAAAGCAGGGGAUCUUCGGACCUUGCGCGAUUGAAUGAGCCGAUGUCGGAUUAGCUAGUUGGCGGGGUAAAGGCCCACCAAGGCGACGAUCCGUAGCUGGUCUGAGAGGAUGGAACGGCCCACGUGGACAUGGAAACGGGCCCAACCCCUGAGGGGGGGGAGCGUGGGGGAUAUUGGGACAAUGGGGGAAACCUGACUCCGCCCUUCCCGGGGGGGGGAAAAGGGCCUUGGGGUUGUAAAGCCCUUUUGUUGGGAAAAAAAAGAAGAAGGUUAAUACCCCCCUUUUUGAACGGUCCCCAAAAAAAAAGCACGGGCUACUUUGUG